Molecule: transfer RNA, 75 nt
Filed under: Novipirellula artificiosorum
Lineage: Bacteria; Pseudomonadati; Planctomycetota; Planctomycetia; Pirellulales; Pirellulaceae
Description: Planctomycetes bacterium Poly41 tRNA-Met
Rfam family: tRNA
About the family: Transfer RNA (tRNA) molecules are approximately 80 nucleotides in length. Their secondary structure includes four short double-helical elements and three loops (D, anti-codon, and T loops).
Source: RNAcentral
GGCGAUGUAGCUCAGUCGGUUAGAGCGGAGUCUUCAUAAGGCUUAGGUCAGCGGUUCGAGUCCGCUCAUCGCUAC